Non-coding RNA from Paramuricea clavata, 562 nucleotides. Lineage: Eukaryota; Metazoa; Cnidaria; Anthozoa; Malacalcyonacea; Plexauridae. The record is from the annotation of a GenBank genome assembly.
UGCAUGUUUUGUCGGAAUAUCCUUUGAACUGCGGCCAUGCAUGGUAGCCGGGAUCACAUCUCGGCAUUGCCGGGCUCAUAUGAACCCAUCAAGCCCAGUCUGACAUUUGGGUUAUCAAUUUUGAUCCACAAAAUUAAGUCCCAAUAAGGAAAUCCUAAAGCUGUCGAGAUCCUCGGCAAUUUUCAUUUUCCGCCAAUUUGUACGGAAUUUAUUACGUUUGUCAAAGACCAGACUAUUUGCCGGGAAAGUCCAUCUCACGGAGCGCAUGCAGAGAGCUUGAUCGCAGGUUAGCGUGAAGCAUGCAAGUUGCAUGAAAAACCCGAAAAAACUAGCGUGAUGAUCUGGUUUACCGGCAGGGUCGUAUAGCUAGACCGACAUGGGGGGUGCAUAUUUAUAUAUUUGUGUUUUGCCCGGCGGAUUUCUUUUGAAAGCGAUUGAUUUUACGGUAUAUGAACAUAAAUUGAUAAAUAUACCCCCUCCCCCAAAUUAUCGCGUCUAGCUACGGCCCUGUUUACCGAGGUUUCAGUAUAAAUUGAUAUUGCAAUAUACCUAUAAGUUUAAU